GAUGAACGCUGGCGACGUGCCUAAUACAUGCAAGUCGAGCGAACGGACGAGAAGCUUGCUUCUCUGAUGUUAGCGGCGGACGGGUGAGUAACACGUGGAUAACCUACCUAUAAGACUGGGAUAACUUCGGGAAACCGGAGCUAAUACCGGAUAAUAUUUUGAACCGCAUGGUUCAAAAGUGAAAGACGGUCUUGCUGUCACUUAUAGAUGGAUCCGCGCUGCAUUAGCUAGUUGGUAAGGUAACGGCUUACCAAGGCAACGAUGCAUAGCCGACCUGAGAGGGUGAUCGGCCGCACUGGAACUGAGACACGGUCCAGACUCCUACGGGAGGCAGCAGUAGGGAAUCUUCCGCAAUGGGCGAAAGCCUGACGGAGCAACGCCGCGUGAGUGAUGAAGGUCUUCGGAUCGUAAAACUCUGUUAUUAGGGAAGAACAUAUGUGUAAGUAACUGUGCACAUCUUGACGGUACCUAAUCAGAAAGCCACGGCUAACUACGUG
RNAcentral lists this ribosomal RNA (497 nucleotides) under uncultured bacterium. RNAcentral's name for it is "partial 16S ribosomal RNA". It matches the Rfam family "Bacterial small subunit ribosomal RNA", at positions 28 to 507 of the family's 1533-position model. The record is from RNAcentral.